RNAcentral lists this ribosomal RNA (378 nucleotides) under Foraminifera environmental sample. Its description in RNAcentral is "SSU rRNA". It matches the Rfam family "Eukaryotic small subunit ribosomal RNA", at positions 1129 to 1431 of the family's 1831-position model. The record is from RNAcentral. Lineage: Eukaryota; Foraminifera.
ACGCACGUGUGAAACUUGAAGGCAUUGACGGAAGCGGUUCACAAGAACGCGUGGAGCAUGUGGCUUAAUUUGACCCAACGCGGGAAAUCUUACCGGGUCCGGACACACUGAGGAUUGACAGGCAAUAUUAAUAUAUUGCAACUUGUUGUUUAUAUAUUAUGUUAAAUAUGCUAGUCCUUUCAUGAUUAUGUGAUAGGUGGUGCAUGGCCGUUCUUAGUUCGAGGAGUGAUCUGUCUGCUUAAUUGCGUUUCACUAAGGGCUUAUAAAUUUACGUGUGUUGUGGGUACUUUGACCCCUACGUUGAAAUAUUACGUAGUGCGUGUCUUAGUUUUUACUUUCACUCACACAAUUAAGUCCUGAAAGCAACGAACGUGACCG